This 507-nucleotide ribosomal RNA is filed under the name Boana multifasciata (many-banded treefrog). Its description in RNAcentral is "partial large subunit ribosomal RNA". It matches the Rfam family "Bacterial large subunit ribosomal RNA", at positions 1834 to 2540 of the family's 2925-position model. Lineage: Eukaryota; Metazoa; Chordata; Amphibia; Anura; Hylidae. The record is from RNAcentral.
CUUGACAAAAUAUAAGAGGUCCAGCCUGCCCAGUGACCUAGUUCAACGGCCGCGGUAUCCUAACCGUGCGAAGGUAGCGUAAUCACUUGUUCUUUAAAUGAGGACUAGUAUGAAUGGCACCACGAGGGUUAAGCUGUCUCCUUUUUCUAAUCAGUGAAACUAAUCUCCCCGUGAAGAAGCGGGGAUCACCCUAUAAGACGAGAAGACCCUAUGGAGCUUAAAACAAAUUAACACCUGCUUCUAUCCACUUUCCUUCCUGAAUUGACACAUAAAAUAUAGCACUAUUGAUUAAUAGUUUUCGAUUGGGGUGAUCAUGGAGCAAAAACCAACCUCCACGACGAAAAGGAGCACUUCCCUGAGCUAAAAGCUACAACUUUAAGCACUAAAAAAUUAACGCACUUUGACCCAAAUUUUUGAGCAACGAACCAAGUUACCCUAGGGAUAACAGCGCAAUCCAUUUUAAGAGCCCCUAUCGACAAAUGGGUUACGACCUCGAUGUUGGAUCAG